CCGAGCCUCCAGCCUCGGGAACGGGCGAGGGCCGGCCAGCGGGGCAAAAAGACCCUUUUGAGCUUGACUCCAGCCCGGGCCUGUGGGGCGGGGCGGCCGGCGCAGCGCACAGGGGAGGCCGCGCCGA
This 127-nucleotide ribosomal RNA is filed under the name Giardia duodenalis. RNAcentral's name for it is "Giardia intestinalis partial LS ribosomal RNA". Lineage: Eukaryota; Fornicata; Diplomonadida; Hexamitidae. The record is from RNAcentral.